Molecule: transfer RNA, 72 nt
Filed under: Camelus bactrianus (Bactrian camel)
Lineage: Eukaryota; Metazoa; Chordata; Mammalia; Artiodactyla; Camelidae
Also listed under: 2 other names
Rfam family: tRNA
About the family: Transfer RNA (tRNA) molecules are approximately 80 nucleotides in length. Their secondary structure includes four short double-helical elements and three loops (D, anti-codon, and T loops).
Source: Rfam by way of RNAcentral
GAGGGUAUAGCUCAGUGGUAGAGUGCAUACUUAGCAUGCAAGAGGUCCUGGGUUCAAUCCCCAGUACUUCCA